UACGGAGGGAGCUAGCGUUGUUCGGAAUACUGGGCGUAAAGCGCACGUAGGCGGCUUUGCAAGUUAGAGGUGAAAGCCCGGGGCUCAACUCCGGAAUUGCCUUUAAAACUGCAUCGCUAGAAUUGUGGAGAGGUAAGUGGAAUUCCGAGUGUAGAGGUGAAAUUCGUAGAUAUUCGGAAGAACACCAGUGGCGAAGGCGACUUACUGGACACAUAUUGACGCUGAGGUGCGAAAGCGUGGGGAGCAAACAGG
RNAcentral lists this ribosomal RNA (252 nucleotides) under uncultured bacterium. RNAcentral describes it as "partial 16S ribosomal RNA". It matches the Rfam family "Bacterial small subunit ribosomal RNA", at positions 524 to 776 of the family's 1533-position model. The record is from RNAcentral.